AAGUAAACGUGUGUGUGGACGGUGUAUUUGUAUUGAUGGAGCUCAUCCACUUCACAUGGACUCAAGUGCAGAUGAUGCUCGGAGGGACCUGGAGCAAAUCACCAUGGCAAUAUUUGUUGUCUUUCGGAAAGAGGGGAAAGGACUGCAGGAGCCACCUGAAGACAUUAGCAUCGUCAUUGAGGGUGUGGAGGUGUUGCAUCAACUGUCAAAAGCUGUCCGUUUCAGCUUGUGCCCUGCUUCUGGGAUUGAUACUCAACCUCUCUUACCCAAAACCACUUCAUUUCACUUUUAAAGUGCUCCAGAAGAUAAUCAUGGAGCUUGAUCAGCAGAAGAUGUCCCCCAAGGUCCAUAAUCUGUAUGGCAGACUUCAAACACAAUAGUGUUUCGAUAUGGGGCAUUUCACUAUUCAGCCCCUUUGGAUGUUGGGCCUUUGUUAGCUCCAAGAUAAAAAUGUUAAGAUACAAUGUUGUUUUAUAUAUAUUAUCACUUGAUUGUAUACAAAUGCUUCUAUCAUACAUAUGAUUUUUGGGGAAAAAGUUCAAUUUCUGUCAGGUGUUCCCAAACAUUGUUACAUAUCAGAAGGCCAAAUGUGACUUGGCAUGGUUAUGCAUUUUGUGCAUAUUUAUGUUAAAAAAAACACUGGAAACAAAUACAAGCAAUACAUUUUGAAAGCCAUCAAA
Long non-coding RNA from Gasterosteus aculeatus aculeatus (three-spined stickleback), 680 nucleotides. The record is from Ensembl. NCBI's taxonomy places the organism in Eukaryota, Metazoa, Chordata, Actinopteri, Perciformes, Gasterosteidae.